Molecule: unclassified non-coding RNA, 243 nt
Filed under: Hevea brasiliensis (rubber tree)
Lineage: Eukaryota; Viridiplantae; Streptophyta; Magnoliopsida; Malpighiales; Euphorbiaceae
Source: RNAcentral
GAAAGAUUAUUAUUUAAGAAAGAUGGGAAACUGAUGACAUUGGUGGAAAUGGAGUUUUCUGUUGAUGCAGCAUCUUCGGCCAUUAAAAAAUGUGGUCAUAAUGCAUCUAUUUUGAAGCUAACUGACUCCAUACAUGCUGCCGGGUUUGGCAGAGGGUAAUGGAAAUUUAGUUUCUCCAUCGAGAUCUUCAUGUAAUGAGAGUUGUGUUAGUAGUUCCCAUGUUCGCAAGAAAAGAAGAAAAUA